This 460-nucleotide ribosomal RNA is filed under the name uncultured bacterium. Its description in RNAcentral is "partial 16S ribosomal RNA". It matches the Rfam family "Bacterial small subunit ribosomal RNA", at positions 338 to 795 of the family's 1533-position model. The record is from RNAcentral.
CCUACUUUGUUCCGCCGUGCGGCCUCUUGGUCCCUGGCCGCGCGUCUGCCCCAGCCAAGUAGCGUGAAGGAUGACUGCCCUAUGGGUUGUAAACUUCUUUUAUAUGGGAAUAAAAUGUUCCACGUGUGGGAUUUUGUAUGUACCAUAUGAAUAAGGAUCGGCUAACUCCGUGCCAGCAGCCGCGGUAAUACGGAGGAUCCGAGCGUUAUCCGGAUUUCUUGGGUUUAAAGGGAGCGUAGGUGGAUUGUUAAGUCAGUUGUGAAAGUUUGCGGCUCAACCGUAAAAUUGCAGUUGAAACUGGCAGUCUUGAGUACAGUAGAGGUGUGCGGAAUUCGUGGUGUAGCGGUGAAAUGCUUAGAUAUCACGAAGAACUCCGAGUGCGAAGGCAGUUCACUGGACUGCAACUGACACUGAGGCACGAAAGUGUGGGUAUCAAACAGGAUUAGAUACCCGUGUAGUC